RNAcentral lists this ribosomal RNA (59 nucleotides) under Trichophyton mentagrophytes. RNAcentral's name for it is "partial 28S ribosomal RNA". The record is from RNAcentral. Lineage: Eukaryota; Fungi; Ascomycota; Eurotiomycetes; Onygenales; Arthrodermataceae.
GUUGACCUCGGAUCAGGUAGGGAUACCCGCUGAACUUAAGCAUAUCAAUAAGCGGGAGG